Molecule: ribosomal RNA, 497 nt
Filed under: uncultured bacterium
Lineage: Bacteria
Description: partial 16S ribosomal RNA
Rfam family: Bacterial small subunit ribosomal RNA
Source: RNAcentral
GACGAACGCUGGCGGCGUGCCUAAUACAUGCAAGUUGAGCGCUGAAGGUUGGUACUUGUACCAACUGGAUGAGCAGCGAACGGGUGAGUAACGCGUGGGGAAUCUGCCUUUGAGCGGGGGACAACAUUUGGAAACGAGUGCUAAUACCGCAUAAAAACUUUAAACACAAGUUUUAAGUUUGAAAGAUGCAAUUGCAUCACUCAAAGAUGAUCCCGCGUUGUAUUAGCUAGUUGGUGAGGUAAAGGCUCACCAAGGCGAUGAUACAUAGCCGACCUGAGAGGGUGAUCGGCCACAUUGGGACUGAGACACGGCCCAAACUCCUACGGGAGGCAGCAGUAGGGAAUCUUCGGCAAUGGACGAAAGUCUGACCGAGCAACGCCGCGUGAGUGAAGAAGGUUUUCGGAUCGUAGAACUCUGUUGGUAGAGAAGAACGUUGGUGAGAGUGGAAAGCUCAUCAAGUGACGGUAACUACCCAGAAAGGGACGGCUAACUACGUG